GCCCCCGUAGCUCAGUCAGGAUAGAGCUCCGGUUUCCUAAACCGGGUGCCCAAGUUCGAGUCUUGGCGGGGGCA
Molecule: transfer RNA, 74 nt
Filed under: Candidatus Latescibacterota bacterium
Lineage: Bacteria; Pseudomonadati; Candidatus Latescibacterota
Description: Candidatus Latescibacteria bacterium tRNA-Arg
Rfam family: tRNA
About the family: Transfer RNA (tRNA) molecules are approximately 80 nucleotides in length.
Source: RNAcentral